This is a long non-coding RNA of Vitis riparia (riverbank grape), 511 nucleotides long. RefSeq lists it as uncharacterized. The transcript is spliced from 2 exons. Lineage: Eukaryota; Viridiplantae; Streptophyta; Magnoliopsida; Vitales; Vitaceae. The record is from RefSeq and is a predicted model, not a curated record.
CGACCCGUCAUUUGGUACAAGUGGUGGCCUAACCAAGUCCGACCUUGAGAACUUGGCUUGAUUGAAAGAUCAACCAACUGAGGGGCAGGAUAAGGUCACUGCUGGGGAUCCCAUUACAUCAAGCAAAAGUCUUCUGGGAACAAAAGAAGAUAUUCAAGCCAAUGGUGGAACCCUUCAUGUGUUUUCUAUGGCGAGCUUAUCUUUCCCCAAAGACAAAGGUCGGGUUUUAGAGAUUAACAUCAAUGUGUUUUCAAAGAGAACCAAGUCACUUAUUACUCUACCCAAAGAAGGUGCUUUUGUGGCGGUGGAAUCUUCCAUUCCAACACCCCACUAGGCUGGGGGUUGCUUGUUUGCCUUUUUAACCUACUGUGAUAAGGUGACUCUUUUUGUAUUUCGUCAGCUUUGGAAGCUAUUUUGAUGAAUUGUGCCUAUGUUGGGCUUCUUUUAAUUUGCCAUGCUAUUUUGGAUAAUUAUGAAUGCAUGUCAAUAUGUUUACUGGUUCACGCUUAAU